Molecule: ribosomal RNA, 440 nt
Filed under: uncultured bacterium
Lineage: Bacteria
Description: partial 16S ribosomal RNA
Rfam family: Bacterial small subunit ribosomal RNA
Source: RNAcentral
CCUACGGGGGGCAGCAGUGAGGAAUAUUGGGCAAUGGGGGCAACCCUGACCCAGCCAUGCCGCGUGAGUGAAGAAGGUCUUCGGAUUGUAAAGCUCUUUCGGACGUGACGAUGAUGAAGGUAGCGUCUAAAGAAGCACGGGCAAAUCUCGUGCCAGCAGCGGCGGGAAUACGGAGGGUGCGAGGGUUGUUCGGAAUUACUGGGCGUAAAGGGAGUGUAGGCGGAUAUGUAGGAUAGCGGGGAAAUGCCGGGGCUCAACCCCGGAACUGCCAUUAUGACUAUGUAUCUAGAGUAAUGGAGAGGAAAGCGGAAUACCCAGUGUAGAGGUGAAAUUCGUAGAUAUUGGGUAGAACACCGGUGGCGAAGGCGGCUAUCUGGCCAUUUACUGACGCUGAGGCUCGAAAGCAUGGGUAUCAAACAGGAUUAGAUACCCGAGUAGUC